GUUGUAGCUCAGUGGUAGAGCACUUGCCUAACAUGUGUGAGGCACUGGGUUCGAUCCUCAGCAUAACA
RNAcentral lists this transfer RNA (68 nucleotides) under Marmota monax (woodchuck). RNAcentral's name for it is "tRNA.Val". The stretch from base 3 to 63 matches the Rfam family "tRNA", at positions 6 to 65 of the family's 71-position model. From Rfam's summary of the family: Transfer RNA (tRNA) molecules are approximately 80 nucleotides in length. Their secondary structure includes four short double-helical elements and three loops (D, anti-codon, and T loops). The record is from RNAcentral. Lineage: Eukaryota; Metazoa; Chordata; Mammalia; Rodentia; Sciuridae.